This 425-nucleotide ribosomal RNA is filed under the name uncultured bacterium. RNAcentral's name for it is "bacterial SSU rRNA". It matches the Rfam family "Bacterial small subunit ribosomal RNA", at positions 356 to 773 of the family's 1533-position model. The record is from RNAcentral.
GGGGAAUAUUGCACAAUGGGGGAACCCUGAUCCAGCCAUGCCGCGUGUGUGAAGAAGGCCUUUUGGUUGCAAAGCACUUUAAGCGAGGAGGAGGCUACUUUGGUUAAUACCUAGAGAUAGUGGACGUUACUCGCAGAAUAAGCACCGGCUAACUCUGUGCCAGCAGCCGCGGUAAUACAGAGGGUGCGAGCGUUAAUCGGAUUUACUGGGCGUAAAGCGUGCGUAGGCGGCUUUUUAAGUCGGAUGUGAAAUCCCCGAGCUUAACUUGGGAAAUGCAGUCGAUACUGGGAAGCUAGAGUAUGGGAGAGGAUGGUAGAAUUCCAGGUGUAGCAGUAAAAUGCGUAGAGAUCUGGAGGAAUACCGAUGGCGAAGGCAGCCAUCUGGCCUAAUACUGACGCUGAGGCACGAAAGCAUGGGGAGCGAAC